AACGAACGCUGGCGGCAGGCUUAACACAUGCAAGUCGAGCGCCCCGCAAGGGGAGCGGCAGACGGGUGAGUAACGCGUGGGAAUCUACCCAGCUCUACGGAAUAACUCAGGGAAACUUGUGCUAAUACCGUAUACGUCCGAUAGGAGAAAGAUUUAUCGGAGUUGGAUGAGCCCGCGUUGGAUUAGCUAGUUGGUGGGGUAAUGGCCUACCAAGGCGACGAUCCAUAGCUGGUCUAAGAGGAUGAUCAGCCACACUGGGACUGAGACACGGCCCAGACUCCUACGGGAGGCAGCAGUGGGGAAUAUUGGACAAUGGGCGCAAGCCUGAUCCAGCCAUGCCGCGUGAGUGAUGAAGGCCCUAGGGUUGUAAAGCUCUUUCACCGGUGAAGAUAAUGACGGUAACCGGAGAAGAAGCCCCGGCUAACUUCGUGCCAGCAGCCGCGGUAAU
This 448-nucleotide ribosomal RNA is filed under the name uncultured bacterium. Its description in RNAcentral is "bacterial SSU rRNA". It matches the Rfam family "Bacterial small subunit ribosomal RNA", at positions 29 to 524 of the family's 1533-position model. The record is from RNAcentral.